ACGAAUAUCUCUGGCGUUGGUUGUAGCUGGCUCCUAGGAGCAUUGUGCACGCCCGUCAUUCAUAUCAUCUUUCCACCUGUGAACCAUGUGUAGGCCUGGAUACCCCUCGCUUUGGCAACAAAGCGGAUGCAAGGAUUGCUGCGUCGACAAGGCCGGCUCUCUUUGAAUUUCCAGGUUCUAUGUCUUUUUACACACCCCAUUUGAAUGAUUUCGAAUGUAGUCAAUGGGCUUUCAUGCCUAUAAAAAAACUAUA
RNAcentral lists this unclassified non-coding RNA (253 nucleotides) under uncultured fungus. RNAcentral's name for it is "sequence contains ITS1". The record is from RNAcentral. Lineage: Eukaryota; Fungi.